AGAACGAACGCUGGCGGCAGGCCUAAUACAUGCAAGUCGAACGCACUCUUCGGAGUGAGUGGCAGACGGGUGAGUAACGCGUGGGAACCUUCCCAAUGGUACGGAAUAACUCCGGGAAACCGGUGCUAAUACCGUAUAAGCCCCUCGGGGGAAAGAUUUAUCGCCAUUGGAUGGGCCCGCGUCGGAUUAGCUAGUUGGUAAGGUAAUGGCUUACCAAGGCUACGAUCCGUAGCUGGUCUGAGAGGAUGAUCAGCCACACUGGGACUGAGACACGGCCCAGACUCCUACGGGAGGCAGCAGUAGGGAAUCUUGGGCAAUGGGCGAAAGCCUGAUCCAGCCAUGCCGCGUGAGUGAAGAAGGCCUUAGGGUUGUAAAGCUCUUUUGGCGGGUACGAUAACGACGGUACCCGCAGAAUAAGCCCGGCUAACUUCGCGCCAGCAGCCGC
This 445-nucleotide ribosomal RNA is filed under the name uncultured soil bacterium. Its description in RNAcentral is "bacterial SSU rRNA". It matches the Rfam family "Bacterial small subunit ribosomal RNA", at positions 26 to 518 of the family's 1533-position model. The record is from RNAcentral.